Molecule: ribosomal RNA, 1220 nt
Filed under: Pharnaciini sp. NS-2020
Lineage: Eukaryota; Metazoa; Arthropoda; Insecta; Phasmatodea; Phasmatidae
Description: 16S ribosomal RNA
Rfam family: Archaeal large subunit ribosomal RNA (bases 961-1119)
Source: RNAcentral
AAUUAAUUAUUGUUAAUAUAGUUUAUUUGUACUGUUAAGGUUUGAUUUUUAUUAUUAAUUAAGUAGAUAUUUUAUUGUACCUUUUGUAUCAGGGUUGAUUUAAUUAAUUUUAAUUAUUUAAUUUUCUCGAAUUGAUUUGAUCUAAUUAUAUAUGUUUAUUAUAGUUUCAUAUAUAAAUAUUAUUUUUAGUUAGUUGUGAUAUGCUAUUCGUAAAUUAAGAUAUCUAGUUUUCUAAUAAAUGAAUUUAAUUCAGUUAUUAUUUUUAAUUUAAAUAUUUUUAUUUUAGUUAUUUUAUAAUAAUAAGGUUUUGGGGGAUUAGCUCUUUUACUUAUUUAAAAUUAUUUAAUUUAAAUAUUAUGUAGACUUUAAAUUGGUUAUCAUUAAUUAGUGUUUUAUAACUUAUUAUUUUUAUUAUUUGAUUUUUUUUAAUUUAAUUAUUUAUUGGAAUUAUUUAAUUAAUUAUUUAUUAAUUUAAAUAAUGAUUAAAUUAGUAUAUUUAUUUAUAUAUUGUUUUAUAUUUGUAAAUUUUUUAUAAGGAACUAGGCAAAUUUAUUUGUUCGCCUGUUUAUCAAAAACAUCUUUUCUUGUAUUUUAUUUGAGAUUUGACCUGCCCUAUGAUUAAUUAAAUGGCCGCGGUAUUUUGACCGUGUGCAAAGGUAGCAUAAUCAUUAGUCUAUUAAUUGUGGACUUGUAUGAAUGGUUGGACGAAACAUUAACUGUCUCAUUUUUAUUAUUAAAACUUAAAUUUUGAGUUAAAAUGCUCAUAUUUUUUUAUAGGACGAGAAGACCCUAUAGAUCUUUAUUAUUGAUUUUUUUAUUUUAUUUAGUUUAUUUAUAUAUAAUAUUUUUAAUUGUUUUGUUGGGGUGACAUAGGGAUAUAAUUAACUCUUUAUUUUAUUUUACAAUUAUUUUUGUUUAUUUGACCUUUUAUUAUUGUUAAUUAGAUAUAGAUACCUUAGGGAUAACAGCGUAAUUCUAUUUGAGAGUUCUUAUCGACGAUAGAGAUUGCGACCUCGAUGUUGGAUUAAGAUUAUAAUUAGGUGUAGGUGCUUAAUUGUUAGGUCUGUUCGACCUUUAAAUUCUUACAUGAUCUGAGUUCAAACCGGUGUAAGCCAGGUUGGUUUCUAUCCUUAAUUAUUCUUUUUAUAUUAGUACGAAAGGACCAUAUAAAUUAAAUAAUUUAUAUAUUUGAUUGUAUUUACUAAUUUGGCAGAAUUUAA